RNAcentral lists this ribosomal RNA (1370 nucleotides) under uncultured bacterium. RNAcentral describes it as "bacterial SSU rRNA". It matches the Rfam family "Bacterial small subunit ribosomal RNA", at positions 28 to 1381 of the family's 1533-position model. The record is from RNAcentral.
GAUGAACGCUGGCGGCGUGCCUAAUACAUGCAAGUCGAGCGAACGGACGAGAAGCUUGCUUCUCUGAUGUUAGCGGCGGACGGGUGAGUAACACGUGGAUAACCUACCUAUAAGACUGGGAUAACUUCGGGAAACCGGAGCUAAUACCGGAUGAUAUUUUGAACCGCAUGGUUCAAAAGUGAAAGACGGUCUUGCUGUCACUUAUAGAUGGAUCCGCGCUGCAUUAGCUAGUUGGUAAGGUAACGGCUUACCAAGGCAACGAUGCAUAGCCGACCUGAGAGGGUGAUCGGCCACACUGGAACUGAGACACGGUCCAGACUCCUACGGGAGGCAGCAGUAGGGAAUCUUCCGCAAUGGGCGAAAGCCUGACGGAGCAACGCCGCGUGAGUGAUGGAGGUCUUCGGAUCGUAAAACUCUGUUAUUAGGGAAGAACAUAUGUGUAAGUAACUGUGCACAUCUUGACGGUACCUAAUCAGAAAGCCACGGCUAACUACGUGCCAGCAGCCGCGGUAAUACGUAGGUGGGCAGCGUUAUCCGGAAUAAUUGGCCGUAAAGCGCGCGUAGCGGUUUUUUAGUCUGAUGUGAAAGCCCACGGCUCAACCGUGGAGGGUCAUUGGAAACUGGAAAACUUGAGUGCAGAAGAGGAAAGUGGAAUUCCAUGUGUAGCGGUGAAAUGCGCAGAGAUAUGGAGGAACACCAGUGGCGAAGGCGACUUUCUGGUCUGUAACUGACGCUGAUGUGCGAAAGCGUGGGGAUCAAACAGGAUUAGAUACCCUGGUAGUCCACGCCGUAAACGAUGAGCGCUAGGUGUUAGGGGGUUUCCGCCCCUUAGUGCUGCAGCUAACGCAUUAAGCACUCCGCCUGGGGAGUACGACCGCAAGGUUGAAACUCAAAGGAAUUGACGGGGACCCGCACAAGCGGUGGAGCAUGUGGUUUAAUUCGAAGCAACGCGAAGAACCUUACCAAAUCUUGACAUCCUUUGACAACUCUAGAGAUAGAGCCUUCCCCUUCGGGGGACAAAGUGACAGGUGGUGCAUGGUUGUCGUCAGCUCGUGUCGUGAGAUGUUGGGUUAAGUCCCGCAACGAGCGCAACCCUUAAGCUUAGUUGCCAUCAUUAAGUUGGGCACUCUAAGUUGACUGCCGGUGACAAACCGGAGGAAGGUGGGGAUGACGUCAAAUCAUCAUGCCCCUUAUGAUUUGGGCUACACACGUGCUACAAUGGACAAUACAAAGGGCAGCGAAACCGUGAGGUCAAGCAAAUCCCAUAAAGUUGUUCUCAGUUCGGAUUGUAGUCUGCAACUCGACUACAUGAAGCUGGAAUCGCUAGUAAUCGUAGAUCAGCAUGCUACGGUGAAUACGUUCCCGGGUCU